This is a long non-coding RNA of Oncorhynchus keta (chum salmon), 7242 nucleotides long. RefSeq lists it as uncharacterized. NCBI's taxonomy places the organism in Eukaryota, Metazoa, Chordata, Actinopteri, Salmoniformes, Salmonidae. The record is from RefSeq and is a predicted model, not a curated record. The transcript has 3 exons.
AACAGUCACUUAACCAACUGAGCCACGAAUAGUCGGCAGAACCCAGAAGAUGAGGCAGACACAGCAGUACUUGAGACGGUGUAUUUAAUGAAGUAAAAAGUGAAGUCCUUCAGGAAAACAUGAAACUCCACAACCUCAAAAGGAAUUCCACAAGAACAAAGGUAAUCCUCCAAGACAAAAAGGUAAAUCCACAAGGUGGUAGGUAUAGCAUAAAAAGCCUCAAAAGAUACUCAAAAAUAAAUAAACAAACAAAAACAAUUCCACAAGAGAGUCCACCGGGAUCAACAAGAGUUCACAGAAUACUAGGGCUGGGUGCUAACAUACAAACACAGAGCAAAGAACUGCGGAAAACUAAGGGUCUAAAUACAAUCAGGGGAAACGAGGCACAGGUGCAAAUAAUAAUGGGGAUCAAGGGAAAACAAAAGGUCAAAAAGCACAAUGGGGGCAUCUAGUGACCAAAAACCGGAACAACCCUGGCCAAAUCCUGACACCCACCCUCUCUCUCUCUCUCUCUCUCUCUCUCUCUCUCUCUCUCUCUCUCAUACACACAGAGUGGAGAUGCCUGAGUGAAUAGGGUAGUUUGGCCCAUGCCACCACGCCAGCCAGAGACAGUGACUAACAGCCCUACUGUGUGAAUUAAAUAUUACAUGCCGGCAGCUCCUGCAAGACCAGUCUUGCUGGACCUUCUCUAGCUUCCCUCAAUUGUACGUCACACCCCGUUGGCACACAAGCAUACACACCACACACAAACUUUGAACAUUCUCUCUUUCUCUCUCUCUCGCUCUCUGCCCAAUACUGGGGAUACUGCCAGAGAAUACUAUGAUAUGAUUGUGAAUGUGAAUGUGACUUCUGCCGUGAUGAUGUGAUAGUUUUGCCCAUAGAGCUCCAGUGUCUGAGGAAACCACAGUGUGUCAGCACCCGCUGUGGUUACAAUGCAGCGAGUUCAUUAUUAGCCGUGUGUGUGUGUUAACUGACAUUGGAAGGUCUGGCUGGGCCCAGUUCAUUACUUCUCACUGUUGACUGACAUUGGGGAGGUCUCGCUGGGCUGACUUUAUUAUUCCCUGCUGCUAUGAGCAGACACAGAUGGGAGCACACGCUAAGCUAGGGAACAGACCUCCACAGGCAAUCUUUCUGGGGCAUUAGAGUGGCGUGUGUGUCAAAAUGAAAUUCCAUUUUAUUGGUCGCAUACACAUAUUUAGCAGAUGUUAUUGCAGGUGUAUCGAAAUGCUUGUAUUCCUAGCUCCAACAGUGCAGUACUAUCUAACAAUUCACACAAGUCUAAAAGUAAAAGAAAGGUAUUAAGAAAUAUAUAAAUAUUAGCACGAGCAGUGUCAGAGUCCGGAGUAUAUACAGUGCCUUCGGAAAGUAUUCAGACUCCUUGACUUUUUCCACAUUUUGUUACGUUACAGCCCGUUUCUAAAAAUUAAAUUGAUCAUCCUUGAGAUGUUUCCACAACUUGAUUGGAGUCCACUUGCGGUAAUUUCAAUUGAUUGAGCAUGAUCUGGAAACAAUUCUGCAGCAUUAAACGUCAUUAAGAACACAGUGGCCUCCAUCAUUAUUAAAUGUAAGAAGAUUGGAACCACCAAGACUCUUCCUAGAGCUGGCCGCCCGGCCAAACUGAUCAAUCUGGGGAAAGGGUCUUGGUCAGGGAUGUGACCAAGAACCCGAUGGUCACUCUGACAGCACUUCAGAGUUCCUCUGUGUAGAUGGGAGAACCUUCCACAAGGACAACCAUCUCUGCAGCACUAAUCAGGCCUUUAUGGUAGAGUGGCCAGAUGGAAGCCUCUCCUCAGUAAAAGGCACAUGACAGACCGCUUGGAGUUUGCCAAAAGGCACCUAAAGGACUCUCAGACCAUGAGAAACAAGAUUCUCUGGUCGGCUGAAACCAAGAUUGAACUCUUUGGCCUGAAUGCCAAGCGCCACGUCUGGAGGAAACCUGGCACCAUCCCUACGGCGAAACAUGGUGGUGGCAGAAUCAUGCUGUGGGGAUGUUUUUCAGUGGCAGGGACUGGGAGACUAGUCACGAUUGAGGGAAAAGUGAACGGAGCAAAGUUCAGAGACAUCCUUGAUGAAAACCUGCUCCAGAGCACUCAGGACUUCAGACUGGGGCAAAGGUUCACCUUUCAACAGGACAAACACAAAGCCAAGACAAGGCAGGAGUGGCUUUGGGUCAAGCCAGAGCCUGGACUUGAGCCUAAUCUAACAUCUCUGGAGAGACCUGAAAAUAGCUGUACAGCAACGCUCCCCAUCCAACCUGACAGAGUUUGAGAGGAUCUGCAGAGAAGAAUGGGAGAAUAUCCCCAAACACAGGUGUGCUAAGCUUGUACCUAAGAAGAUCACUGCCAAAAGUGCUUCAUCAAAGUACUGAGUAAAGUGUCUGAAUAUUCAUGUCAAUGUGAUAUUUCAGUUUUUUUUAUUUAUACUUUUGCAAAAAAAAAAUCUAAAAACCUGUUUUUGCUUUGUCAUUAUGGGGUAUUGUGUGUCUAUUUAUGAUGUUUAUUUUUUAUUAAAUCCAUUUUAGGGUAAGGCUGUUACUUAUCAAAAUGUGGAAAAGGGAAGGGGUCUGAAUACUUUCCGAAUGCACUCUGUGUAUAUACAGUUGAAGUCUGAAGUUUACAUACACCUUAGCCAAAUACAUUUAAACUCAGUUUUUCACAAUUUCUGACAUUUAAUCCUAGUAAAAAUGCUCUGUCUUAGGUCAGUUAGGAUCACCACCUUAUUUUAAGAAUGUGAAAUGUCAGAAUAAUAGUAGAGAGAAUGAUUUAUUUCAGCUUUUAUUUCUUUCAUCACAUUCCCAGUGGGUCAGAAGUUGACAUACACUCAAUUAGUAUUUGGUAGCAUUGCCUUUAAAUUGUUUAACAUGGGUCAAAUGUUUUGGGUAGCCUUCCGCAAGCUUCCCACAAUAAGUUGGGUGAAUUCUGGUCCAUUCCUCCUGACAGCUGGUGUAAUUGAGUCAGCUUUUUUAGGCCUCCUUGCUCGCACACGCUUGUUCUGUUCUGCCCACAAAUGUUCUAUAGGAUUGAGGUCAGGGCUUUGUGAUGGCCACUCCAAUACCUUUACUUUGCCCCACAGCAACUCGCCCAAGCCUUCCCCAUUUCUCCUCCCAAAUCCGUUCAGCUGAUGUUCUGAAAGAGCUGCAAAAUCUGGACCCCUACAAAUCAGCCUGGCUCGACAAUCUGGACCCUUUCUUUCUAAAAUUAUCUGCCGAAAUGGUUGCCACCCCUAUUACUACUAACCUCUUCAACCUCUCUUUCGUAUCGUCUGAGAUUCCCAAAGAUUGGAAAGCAGCUGCGGUCAUCCCCCUCUUCGAAGGGGGGGACACUCUUGACCCAAGCUGCUACAGACCUAUAUCUAUCCUACCAUGCCUUUCUAAGGUCUUCAAAAGCCAAGUCAACAAACAGAUUACCGACCAUUUCGAAUCUCACCAUACCUUCUCUGCUAUGCAAUCUGGUUUCAGAGCUGGUCAUGGGUGCACCUACCUGCACCUGCCCGCCUGUCCAACAUCACUACUCUGGACGGCUCUGACUUAGAAUACGUGGACAACUACAAAUACUUAGGUGUCUGGUUCGACUGUAAACUCUCCUUCCAGACCCAUAUCAAACAUCUCCAAUCCAAAGUUAAAUCUAGAAUUGGCUUCCUAUUUCCCAACAAAGCAUCCUUCACUCAUGCUGACAAACAUACCCUUGUAAAACUGACCAUCCUACCAAUCCUCGACUUUGGCGAUGUCAUUUACAAAAUAGCCUCCAAUACCCUACUCAACAAAUUGGAUGCAGUCUAUCACAGUGCAAUCCAUUUUGUCACCAAAGCCCCAUAUACUACCCACCAUUGCGACCUGUACGCUCUCGUUGGCUGGCCCUCGCUUCAUACUCGUCGCCAAACCCACUGGCUCCAUGUCAUCUACAAGACCCUGCUAGAUAAAGUCCCCCCUUAUCUCAGCUCGCUGGUCACCAUAGCAUCUCCCACCUGUAGCACACGCUCCAGCAAGUAUAUCUCUCUAGUCACCCCCAAAACCAAUUCUUUCUUUGGCCGCCUCUCCUUCCAGUUCUCUGCUGCCAAUGACUGGAACGAACUACAAAAAUCUCUGAAACUGGAAACACUAAUCUCCCUCACUAGCUUUAAGCACCAACUGUCAGAGCAGCUCACAGAUUACUACACCUGUACAUAGCCCACCUAUAAUUUAGCCCAAACAACUACCUCUUUCCCAACUGUAUUUAAUUAAUUCAUUUAUUUUGCUCCUUUGCACCCCAUUAUUUUUAUUUCUACUUUGCACAUUCUUCCAUUGCAAAACUACCAUUCCAGUGUUUUACUUGCUAUAUUGUAUUUACUUUGCCACCAUGGCCUUUUUUGCCUUUACCUCCCUUCUCAUCUAAUUUGAUCACAUUGUAUAUAGACUUGUUUAUACUGUAUUAUUGACUGUAUGUUUGUUUUACUCCAUGUGUAACUCUGUGUCGUUGUAUCUGUCGAACUGCUUUGCUUUAUCUUGGCCAUGUCGCAAUUGUAAAUGAGAACUUGUUCUCAACUUGCCUACCUGGUUAAAUAAAGGUGAAAUAAAAAAAAUAAAAAAUAAAAAACUGGAUACAAGACAGGAUAUCAGUGUUACAUGCAUUCAUGGGGAUACCCGUCUGUACCCCACGGCCUUAGUGAGCAUACAAACAGAGGAUGGUCUGCUGGACUAUGAGGUCGGCGUGGUCCCAAAGAUGCCAUAUGAUGUAAUAUUGGGUAGAGACGUUCCUAACUUUGCGAAGUUAGGCCACAAGAAUGGCAUAUUUGAGAAGCCAACAACCCUGACCAAGCAGGAAGAAGCAUGGGGCCUUCAACCAAAGCCAAGAAAAGAGGUCUCCCAGGGGACAACAUCACAGGUGCUAGUAGGGGAGGAGGAGGAUGAAGUGGCAAACCUCGCUGAUAACGAACAGCCCGGUACUAGUGGGGCUGGGGUCGAUCUGAAUCCAGAGGACGACGAUCUAGAACCAGCAGACCUGGCAGAGUCCUUGACUAAUUUUGGGACGGCCCAAAACCAGGAUCCAACCCUGCAACAAGCCAGAGCAGAUGUGCAGGUCGUAGAUGGUACUCCCAUAAAUGGUGGGAUGAUGCCUAAUAGUUUUCCCCACUUCAUCAUGAAAAAGGGUUUGGUGUACAGAGUCUCGAAAAUAGGGGUUGAUGUGGUGGAACAGUUGUUGGUUCCCACUCGGUACAAGAGGACAGUACUGGAUCUAGCUCAUGGGCACAUUCUGGGUGGACACCUUGGUAUCGAUAAAACCCGAGACCGGAUUGUAAGGAGGUUUUACUGGCCAGGAAUUCAAGCUGAAGUGGCUCGGCAUUGUGGAGAGUGCCCGGAGUGCCAGUUAACAGCUCCCCGACCAGCUUUUAGAAGCCGGUUAGUGCCACUCCCCAUAAUCGAAACGCCAUUUUAGAGGAUAGCGAUGGAUUUAGUGGGCCCACUACCCAAAUCCGCCAGAGGGCACCAAUACAUUCUGGUCAUUCUAGAUUAUGCCACUCGCUACCCAGAGGGUUAAUCAAACCCCAACAUAAGAAGGUGAAGGCAAUUAGAGAAUGGCCGAAACCAGUAAAUAAGAAGCAGGUCCGAGCCUUCCUAGGGCUGACCGGUUACUACCGGAUGUUCAUCCCAAAUUAUGCCACAGUGGCCGCCCCACUUACCGACAUGACUAAAGCCAGAGGGCCAAACGUGGUCAAAAGGGAUGAAAGGGCCACCAAAGCAUUUAGGACAUUACAGGAGGCUCUCUGCUGUAACCCAGUGCUGGUGGUACCAGAUUUUGAGAAAGAGUUUGUGGUUCAGACGGAUGCCUCAGAGGUCGGCUUGGGAGCAGUGCUGUCCCAAGAGGUAGAAGGGGUGGAACACCCCAUCCUGUUUUUAAGCAGGAAGCUGGAACCACGGGAAACCAACUACUCAGUCGUUGAGAAAGAGGCGCUGGCAGUAAAGUGGGCUCUAGAAAGCCUGAAGUACUACCUGCUGGGGCGCCACUUCACCCUCAUCAGUGACCAUGCCCCACUCACCUGGAUGCAUAGGGCUGAAGAGAAGAACGCUCGGGUGAUGCAGUGGUUUUUGAGUCUCCAACCAUUUAAUUUUGACUUGAAACACAGAGCAGGGAAGGAAAUGGGAAACGUGGAUGGGUUAUCCCGCAUGCAUGCAUAUUUUGCUGCGGUAGCCCGACCUAGGGGGUCGGAUCUAGGGGGAGAGAUAUGUGGCAAAGAAGGCGGUCGAGUGAUAAGUGGCAGAUAUGUGAGAGCAGAACUAAUAAAUGGGCUCUGCCCGAUCACUAAAAUGGCCACCCCUGUCAGAACUACAGAUCACAAAAUGGUCGACCGCCAAAACUACAAGUCCCAGAAGCAAGGGGAACCCUCAGAAGGUGGAGCCAACUCACAGAUAAAGGGUCAAGAAAAACCAGGAAGAGGAAGAGAGAGUGCUGGAAGGAGCUAUGAACAAUAGAGAAAGAGACUAUUGAGAUUGGCUGGAUUUACCGUGUAUGAGCUGGAUUGUUUUGGAUUUUCCUGUUGGCGUUUGGACCUGGACCUACCGAGAACCCGAUUCGUGUACCGAACCCUGCUAUCCUUGACGUCGCCUACGGCCUGGGUGGACCAGGACAGAGAAACAAACACACAGAUCCACCAGCCUGGACAACCGGACGACGGGUCCGGAACGACAAUCCACAACCUUGACAUCCCGUGGCCAUUCUUGUGGGGGUCUGCAGCUUGCAGAAAUCCUACCAGGGUAAACCAGCAGAGGAGGACUGCUACGAUGAUCCACAAACCAGGACAUCCCGUGAUCAUUUUUAUGUAUCUUACUACGCUCAUCACCAAUGGGAACCGUCGACACGGCUGGCUAGCUAUCUUCCAGAGUGAACAACAGUAGAAAAGGGGAGACCCCUUUCGGACAUUUGGAGCCAUACAAGCUUGCCGCUGAAAGACCAACAACCUUCCUAAGGAGGGCUGGUUCCGACAGAGAUAAACGGCGAACGAAGGCAUUCACACUUAACGUUAAAUACAUGAAUGAUUUCAUACUUAAAAUGGGCGGCAGUUCGUGUGCAAAGUAUAUGAUUACUGUGGGAAUAGUUCUAAAAUCUAUCAACAAUGAGUGUCCUUUUUUCUCUUUCCCCCCUCUUCAUUUUCUAUGUAACAAGCCACCAUAUGUUGUCCAUCUAUUUGGGACCUAUUUCUCAAGUAUUAUGUGUGUAUGUUUAUUGUGUGUUAUUAUUUAGUUAGCUAGUAAAUAAAUAAUUAAACCGA